AGCAUGGCCUUUAUAUCCUGGGCUACACACACGCUACAAUGGCCAACACAAUAGGUCGCUAAGCCGCGAGGUGGAGCCAAUCCAUAAAGUUGGUCUCAGUUCAGAUUGCAGGCUGCAACCCGCCUGCAUGAAGAUGGAGUUGCUAGUAACCGCAGGUCAGCAAUACUGCGGUGAAUACGUUCCCGGGUCUU
RNAcentral lists this ribosomal RNA (191 nucleotides) under uncultured Caldilineaceae bacterium. RNAcentral describes it as "partial 16S ribosomal RNA". It matches the Rfam family "Bacterial small subunit ribosomal RNA", at positions 1192 to 1382 of the family's 1533-position model. Lineage: Bacteria; Bacillati; Chloroflexota; Caldilineae; Caldilineales; Caldilineaceae. The record is from RNAcentral.